RNAcentral lists this ribosomal RNA (491 nucleotides) under uncultured bacterium. RNAcentral describes it as "partial 16S ribosomal RNA". It matches the Rfam family "Bacterial small subunit ribosomal RNA", at positions 29 to 507 of the family's 1533-position model. The record is from RNAcentral.
GUGAACGCUGGCGGUAGGCCUAACACAUGCAAGUCGCACGGCAGCACAGUAAGAGCUUGCUCUUACGGGUGGCGAGUGGCGGACGGGUGAGGAAUACAUCGGAAUCUACUUUUUCGUUGGGGAUAACGUAGGGAAACUUACGCUAAUACCGCAUACGACCUACGGGUGAAAGCAGGGGAUCUUCGGACCUUGCGCGAUUGAAUGAGCCGAUGUCGGAUUAGCUAGUUGGCGGGGUAAAGGCCCACCAAGGCGACGAUCCGUAGCUGGUCUGAGAGGAUGAACAGCAACACUGGAACAGAGGCACGGACGAGACUGCGACGGGAGGCAGCAGUGGAGAAUAAUGGAGGAUGCGCGCAAGACUGAACCAGCAAUACCGAGGAGAUGAAGGAGGCCUUCGGCUUGGAAAGCCCAUUGGAUGAAAAAGAAAAGCAGCAGGUUAAUACCCCGCUGGGCGGACGGUACCCAAAGAAUAAAAACCGGCUAGCUUCGUG